This 1167-nucleotide long non-coding RNA is filed under the name Trifolium pratense (red clover). RNAcentral's name for it is "long non-coding RNA (TPRA_LNC005916)". The record is from RNAcentral. Lineage: Eukaryota; Viridiplantae; Streptophyta; Magnoliopsida; Fabales; Fabaceae.
GCAUCUUUAAAUUUAGUACACAUUGAAUUGCAUUCAUGAUUAGCAAUAUCGCACGGUCCUCCCCCAAUUGUACAUCUUCUUGUAGGAUCACUUAGAUGUUUGGAAGGUACAUAGUUGAAAAAACAUGUACAUAGGUUGAAUUGAUCACAAAACCAUCCUAAUAAACUAUCGAACUUCUCGAUUUGGACUCUUGAAUUACAAAAGGAGUGGCAAUCUUUUACCACACUACAUUUGUCGUAAAUUAUUGAGCACAUACCUGCUUCUACCGUUACUUGCACUAUUCUCCCGGAAAGAAAUUACAAGCAAAAAAAUACAAUUAGAAAUUUAUCAUUUAAAAUUAUAUACUUUAUUUCACUUUUGGUUCCAUAUUUUAACUCAUACUGAUACAAGAGUUUACUCCCUCCGUCUCAAACUAUGAGUCAUUUUGCAGAAAAAUAUUUUUACAAAUUAUAACUUUUUUACAAUACCAAAGAAAUAUUAAGUUUAUUUUUCCUGUUGUACCAUUUAUCAUUUAUUAUUACUCUGUUUUUUAAUUCUUUAAUUUAUCUUGUUUAUACUAUUAAUGAAAGUUAAUUUUAUAAAAUAAUUUAUAAUUUUUUCUCCAUAGAAAUUUACUUACAUUCCUUGGUUUAUAUAAAAUAGUCAAAACGACUUAUAAAUAUAUAUGACGAAUAUAUGUAUUAGCUCUCACGUUUCACAAAAUUUUAGGAUAUUUUCCACAAUCAAUGAUUUGGGUAAUUUCAUAAAAAAUAUAUAUAUAUAUAUAUAUUUACAAUUGAUCAACGAAACUAUAAAAAAUUAAAUGGUAACAAUUUUGCUGGUACGUUUAGGUGUAAAUCAACAAAAGUUUCAAAUUGAGUUGCAAAGAGAAAACAUGAAACUUGUGAAAUUGAAUUCAGAUUUGAAAAUUGGAGGAAUAAAAAUAUGUUGAAAAAUGCUAACAAGUACGAGUGUCUACAAAAUACUUUCUAAGAAUUUUUAACAUGCGACCUAAUGCGUUCGAAAUUAAAAUAUGUAAAACUUUUUAAAUAAAUAAUUUUUCAAAUAAUUUUUUUAAGAUAAAAGUGAAUUAGUUACUAGUAUGAGAUAAUGGUGAAGAGAUUACUUACAUGCGGCAAUCGUAGCUAGGAUGAAAAAGAAAAUUAAACAUUUUGAGAUGUGGUUUGC